This 253-nucleotide ribosomal RNA is filed under the name uncultured bacterium. RNAcentral's name for it is "partial 16S ribosomal RNA". It matches the Rfam family "Bacterial small subunit ribosomal RNA", at positions 524 to 776 of the family's 1533-position model. The record is from RNAcentral.
GACGAACCGUGCAAACGUUAUUCGGAAUCACUGGGCUUAAAGGGCGCGUAGGCGGAUUGCCAUGUCGGUGGUGAAAUCGUUCGGCCCAACCGGACAAGUGCCGCCGAUACUGGCAGUCUCGAGGGAGGUAGGGGUCGAGGGAACUGGUGGUGGAGCGGUGAAAUGCGUAGAUAUCACUAGGAACGCCGGUGGCGAAAGCGCUCGACUGGACCUCUUCUGACGCUGAGGCGCGAAAGCCAGGGGAGCAAACGGG